AGGCUCAGCGAGAGUUGGGAUCUCGCGGGAUCUGGGGGCCAAUCAGGAGCUCUGGUGAAUGCCGCCCUUACGCGGUGUCAUCCACUCCGAAGUACAAGCUUGGCGGGGCUUGAGGUGCUCAGCGUUGUGUUCCCGCCCUGUGACUGACUGCUUCAAACCUGGGGUGAGGGCCCUUGCCAGGCAGUGGCCAAGGGAGGCGGAGGACAGCGCUGCUGGCCGUGUGAUGUGGAAUGAGUCCCUACCUCACACUGACCAAGAAUGAGGCUUAGCGGGCAGGUCCACAACAGGGCCUGUGUGGAAGGGAGCAGUGGCUCUGUACAGUUUGAAGUUACUCCUGAAGCAGCUGGGCAGUACUGUGUCACCCAUGUGAUAGCACCAGCACAAGAA
Molecule: long non-coding RNA, 387 nt
Filed under: Fukomys damarensis (Damara mole-rat)
Lineage: Eukaryota; Metazoa; Chordata; Mammalia; Rodentia; Bathyergidae
Description: lncRNA (ENSFDAG00000024937.1)
Source: RNAcentral